RNAcentral lists this transfer RNA (90 nucleotides) under Phycisphaerales bacterium. Its description in RNAcentral is "tRNA-Ser". It matches the Rfam family "tRNA". Rfam says of the family: Transfer RNA (tRNA) molecules are approximately 80 nucleotides in length. Lineage: Bacteria; Pseudomonadati; Planctomycetota; Phycisphaerae; Phycisphaerales. The record is from RNAcentral.
GGAGCUGUGCCCGAGCGGCUGAAGGGGGCGGAUUGCUAAUCCGCUGUACGGGGUAAACCCGUACCGAGGGUUCGAAUCCCUCCGGCUCCG